RNAcentral lists this ribosomal RNA (429 nucleotides) under Bacteroidota bacterium. RNAcentral's name for it is "Bacteroidetes bacterium partial 16S ribosomal RNA". It matches the Rfam family "Bacterial small subunit ribosomal RNA", at positions 355 to 776 of the family's 1533-position model. The record is from RNAcentral. Lineage: Bacteria; Pseudomonadati; Bacteroidota.
UAGGGAAUCUUCGGCAAUGGGGGGAACCCUGACCGAGCAACGCCGCGUGAGUGAAGAAGGUUUUCGGAUCGUAAAGCUCUGUUGUUAAGGAAGAACGAGUGUGAGAAUGGAAAGUUCAUGCUGUGACGGUACUUAACCAGAAAGGGACGACUAACUACGUGCCAGCAGCCGCGGUAAUACGUAGGUCCCGAGCGUUGUCCGGAUUUAUUGGGCGUAAAGCGAGCGCAGGCGGUUAGAAAAGUCUGAAGUGAAAGGCAGUGGCUCAACCAUUGUAGGCUUUGGAAACUGUUUAACUUGAGUGCAGAAGGGGAGAGUGGAAUUCCAUGUGUAGCGGUGAAAUGCGUAGAUAUAUGGAGGAACACCGGUGGCGAAAGCGGCUCUCUGGUCUGUAACUGACGCUGAGGCUCGAAAGCGUGGGGAGCGAACAGG